UCUACUUCACUCCAACCAUUUCAAAAUUCCCAUUUUCUUACGGUACACCCAUAUUUAAUCACUUCAUUUCUCUCUAUCUUCUCCUCUAUUUUUUCCUACUUCUUUCUUCAUCAUUCCUUCUUCUUCCUCAAUUUUUUUUUUCAUCCAAAGACUUGAUAUUUCUUACUAACAAGGUAACAUUUUUUUUACUCAUUACACCUUACUUCAAACUUCUUGGUCUUACUCACUCUAUUUUGUUUUUCCAAGAAGAGGAAGCCAUGGGAGUUUUAAGAAAGGAAAGAGAGAAAACUUUUUUGUUUGUUUUUUGGUUUUCCUGAAAAGAUCCCUUACAUGACUUGGUUUGGCAAACCUAGCAAGUCUUUAAAAGUGAUUAAAUAAAUGGAAAUGGAGAAAAGAGUGAAGGCUAAUCAAGUUGAAGUACAAGGAUGUUGUUGAUUUAAAGGAAAAGUGAUUAAGAAGAGGUCAAGAGGAUGAGGAGAUUUUCAAAUCCCUUUUCCUUUCCCUUUUAAAACCUUAUAAUAAAUUUAUCAUUAUGGAAUCUAAUAAUAUCCAUCACCUCCAACAAGAUGAACCUCCUCAUCUUAGGAACUUUUCUUUGACCUCAUCUUUAUAUGGAUCACUUGGUGGUGGUAGCCAUUCUUGGACCCCAAAUAUCAUUUUGUAAGUCUCUUAAUACACUUUACUAUACAUUAUCCAGUUUUUAUAUCAUGUGUAUGAGUUGAUUUUUUUACUUUACUAUUGCUAAUGUUUGUUUCCGCUUUCCCUGGGUUUCAAGUUUACAUUUUUUGUAAUUUUUUCAUAAAAAAAUUGUUUUUUCUACGGUUUAGGAGUUUGGAGUUUACAUUUAUAUAUUUUCUGGAAAAAAUACUGCAUUUCUCCUUCUUUGUGUUUCACUUUACAUUUUUUGCUAUUAUUUUUGUUUAAAA
This 926-nucleotide long non-coding RNA is filed under the name Lupinus angustifolius (narrow-leaved blue lupine). Its description in RNAcentral is "long non-coding RNA (LANG_LNC002673)". The record is from RNAcentral. Lineage: Eukaryota; Viridiplantae; Streptophyta; Magnoliopsida; Fabales; Fabaceae.